GUUCUUGCUUCGGCAGUACAUAUGCUAAAACUGGAAUGACAUAGAGAAGCUUAGCAUGGCCCCUGUAUAAGGAUGACACAACCAAUUCAUGAAGUGUUCUAUGUGAAA
Small nuclear RNA from Jaculus jaculus (lesser Egyptian jerboa), 108 nucleotides. Lineage: Eukaryota; Metazoa; Chordata; Mammalia; Rodentia; Dipodidae. The record is from Ensembl.